Non-coding RNA from Pelobates cultripes (western spadefoot toad), 242 nucleotides. The record is from the annotation of a GenBank genome assembly. NCBI's taxonomy places the organism in Eukaryota, Metazoa, Chordata, Amphibia, Anura, Pelobatidae.
AUAGGGAGGGCAUUUUACUAACAUCUUAGCACCUAAGCCAAUUAACAAUGUCUAUUUGUCUAUAUCUUGAUUUUCUUCAAUGAUGUAAUAAUGCCUUUAAAAGGGUCUGCGCACCCAUUUUCUGUCAGAAGCCAUUAAACUUCUCCGAAGUUCUUUCAUUAACCUGAACUUUGUGUCUCAGUGUGAAUUUACUUCUGCGUGCACGCAACUUUAUUAUCUUUAAUUUGGACAGGAACAGAUAG